RNAcentral lists this ribosomal RNA (440 nucleotides) under uncultured bacterium. Its description in RNAcentral is "partial 16S ribosomal RNA". It matches the Rfam family "Bacterial small subunit ribosomal RNA", at positions 338 to 795 of the family's 1533-position model. The record is from RNAcentral.
CCUACGGGAGGCAGCAGUGGGGAAUAUUGCACAAUGGGGGAAACCCUGAUGCAGCGACGCCGCGUGAGCGAAGAAGUCUUUCGGUAUGUAAAGCUCUAUCAGCAGGGAAGAAAAUGACGGUACCUGACUAAGCCGCUACGGCUAACUACGUGCCAGCAGCCGCGGUAAUACGUAUGGAGCAAGCGUUAUCCGGAUUUACUGGGUGUAAAGGGAGCGUAGACGGACGCGCAAGUCUGGAGUGAAAUCCCAUGGCUUAACCAUGGAACUGCUUUGGAAACUGUGAGGCUAGAGUGCAGGAGAGGUAAGCGGAAUUCCUAGUGUAGCGGUGAAAUGCGUAGAUAUUAGGAGGAACACCAGUGGCGAAGGCGGCUUACUGAACUGUAACUGACGUUGAGGCUCGAAAGCGUGGGGAGCAAACAGGAUUAGAUACCCCUGUAGUC